RNAcentral lists this ribosomal RNA (780 nucleotides) under uncultured bacterium. Its description in RNAcentral is "bacterial SSU rRNA". It matches the Rfam family "Bacterial small subunit ribosomal RNA", at positions 57 to 883 of the family's 1533-position model. The record is from RNAcentral.
GCAAGUCGAACGUUUGGAGCUUGCUCCGUUUAGUGGCGGACGGGUGAGUAACGCGUGGGUACCUGCCUCAUACAGGGGGAUAGCAGUUGGAAACGACUGGUAAAACCGCAUAAGAUCGCAUGAUAAAAACUCCGGUGGUAUGAGAUGGACCCGCGUCUGAUUAGCUAGUUGGUGAGGUAACGGCCCACCAAGGCGACGAUCAGUAGCCGGCCUGAGAGGGUGAACGGCCACAUUGGGACUGAGACACGGCCCAAACUCCUACGGGAGGCAGCAGUGGGGAAUAUUGCACAAUGGGGGAAACCCUGAUGCAGCGACGCCGCGUGAGUGAAGAAGUAUUUCGGUAUGUAAAGCUCUAUCAGCAGGGAAGAUAAUGACGGUACCUGACUAAGAAGCACCGGCUAAAUACGUGCCAGCAGCCGCGGUAAUACGUAUGGUGCAAGCGUUAUCCGGAUUUACUGGGUGUAAAGGGUGCGUAGGUGGCAAGGCAAGUCUGAAGUGAAAAUCGGGGCUCAACCCCGGAACUGCUUUGGAAACUGUUUAGCUAGAGUACAGGAGAGGUAAGUGGAAUUCCUAGUGUAGCGGUGAAAUGCGUAGAUAUUAGGAGGAACACCAGUGGCGAAGGCGACUUACUGGACUGCUACUGACACUGAGGCACGAAACGUGAGGAGCAAACAGGAUUAGAUACCCUGGUAGUCCACGCCGUANACGAUGAAUACUAGGUGUUGGGUUNAAAGGCUCGGUGCCGUCGCAAACGCAUUAAGUAUUCCACCUGGGGAGUAC